AGGGGCUGCGGGCACCAUGGCCUGGACUCCUCUCCUCCUCGUGCUCCUCUCUCACUGCACAGGUUCCCUCUCUCAGACUGCGGUGACCCAGCAGCCCUCCCUCUCUGCAUCUCUGGGAGGCAAAGCCAGACUCACCUGCACCCUGAGGAGUGGCUUCACUGUUGGCGUUUAUGACAUACACUGGUACCAGCAGAAGCCUGGGGCCUCUCCCCGGUUUCUCUUAUACUACCGCUCAGACUCAGACAAGGGCCAGGGCUCCGGGGUCCCCAGCCGCUUCUCCGGAUCCAAAGACGCCUCGGCCAAUGCAGGGCUCCUGACCAUCUCUGGGCUGCAGCCUGAGGACGAGGCCGACUAUUACUGUACCAUCUGGCACAAUAAUGCUUCUCACAGUGACACACAAGAAGGGGAAGUGGGACAAAAUCCUCAGCCUACAGAGUUUGGUUCAUGA
This is a non-coding RNA of Pteronotus mesoamericanus, 448 nucleotides long. Lineage: Eukaryota; Metazoa; Chordata; Mammalia; Chiroptera; Mormoopidae. The record is from the annotation of a RefSeq genome assembly.